GCAAACGUGGCGGAACUGGCAGACGCGCUAGACUUAGGAUCUAGUGGGGAAACCCAUGCAGGUUCAAUUCCUGUCGUUUGCACCA
Molecule: transfer RNA, 85 nt
Filed under: Tenericutes bacterium ADurb.Bin024
Lineage: Bacteria; Bacillati; Mycoplasmatota
Also listed under: 3 other names
Description: tRNA-Leu
Rfam family: tRNA
About the family: Transfer RNA (tRNA) molecules are approximately 80 nucleotides in length. Their secondary structure includes four short double-helical elements and three loops (D, anti-codon, and T loops). Further hydrogen bonds mediate the characteristic L-shaped molecular structure. tRNAs have two regions of fundamental functional importance: the anti-codon, which is responsible for specific mRNA codon recognition, and the 3' end, to which the tRNAs corresponding amino acid is attached (by aminoacyl-tRNA synthetases). tRNAs cope with the degeneracy of the genetic code in two manners: having more than one tRNA (with a specific anti-codon) for a particular amino acid; and 'wobble' base-pairing, i.e. permitting non-standard base-pairing at the 3rd anti-codon position.
Source: RNAcentral